Molecule: ribosomal RNA, 250 nt
Filed under: uncultured prokaryote
Description: partial 16S ribosomal RNA
Rfam family: Bacterial small subunit ribosomal RNA
Source: RNAcentral
UACGUAGGGAGCGAGCGUUAUCCGGAAUUAUUGGGCGUAAAGGGUGCGUAGACGGCAAUAAAAGUUUCUUGUCAAAUAUCUUGGCUCAACCAAGUAACGCAAGAGAUACUGUAUAGCUAGAGUAUGGAAGAGGUAAGUGGAACUCCAUGUGUGGCGGUAAAAUGCGUAAAUAUAUGGAAGAACACCAGUGGCGAAGGCGGCUUACUAGUCCAAUACUGACGUUGAGGCACGGAAGCGUGGGGAGCAAACA